This 497-nucleotide ribosomal RNA is filed under the name uncultured bacterium. Its description in RNAcentral is "partial 16S ribosomal RNA". It matches the Rfam family "Bacterial small subunit ribosomal RNA", at positions 28 to 507 of the family's 1533-position model. The record is from RNAcentral.
GAUGAACGCUGGCGGCGUGCCUAAUACAUGCAAGUCGAGCGAACGGACGAGAAGCUUGCUUCUCUGAUGUUAGCGGCGGACGGGUGAGUAACACGUGGAUAACCUACCUAUAAGACUGGGAUAACUUCGGGAAACCGUAGCUAAUACCGGAUAAUAUUUUGAACCGCAUGGUUCAAAAGUGAAAGACGGUCUUGCUGUCACUUAUAGAUGGAUCCGCGCUGCAUUAGCUAGUUGGUAAGGUAACGGCUUACCAAGGCAACGAUGCAUAGCCGACCUGAGAGGGUGGUCGGCCACACUGGAACGGAGACACGGUCAAGACUCCUACGGGAGGCAGCAGUAGGGAAUCUUACGCAAUGGGCGAAAGCCUGACGGAGCAACGCCGCGUGAGUGAUGAAGGUCUUCGGAUCGUAAAACUCUGUUAUUAGGGAAGAACAGAUGUGUAAGUAACUGUGCACAUCUUGACGGUACCUAAUCAGAAAGCCACGGCUAACUACGUG